GAAUCAUUCACAAUGGGCGAAAGCCUGAUGGUGCGACGCCGCGUGAGGGAUGAAGGUCUUCGGAUUGUAAACCUCUGUCACUGGGGAGAAAACGCUUCAGGUUAAUAGUCUGAAGCCUGAUUUAACCCGGAGAGGAAGCAGUGGCUAACUCUGUGCCAGCAGCCGCGGUAAUACAGAGACUGCAAGCGUUAUUCGGAUUCACUGGGCGUAAAGGGUGCGCAGGCGGCCGGGUGUGUCAGAUGUGAAAUCCCGAGGCUCAACCUCGGAACUGCGUCUGAAACUACUCGGCUAGAGUACUGGAGAGGGUAACGGAAUUCACGGUGUAGCAGUGAAAUGCGUAGAUAUCGUGAGGAACACCAGAGGCGAAGGCGGUUACCUGGACAGUUACUGACGCUCAGGCACGAAAGCAUGGGGAGCAAAAGGG
This 424-nucleotide ribosomal RNA is filed under the name uncultured bacterium. RNAcentral describes it as "bacterial SSU rRNA". It matches the Rfam family "Bacterial small subunit ribosomal RNA", at positions 359 to 776 of the family's 1533-position model. The record is from RNAcentral.